GUGAAUUCCCACGCCUACAAUUGUGCUGCUAGGACCCUAAGAAAAAAUUCUUAAGUCUAUCGUUGUAAUCUACAAUAUGAUUUUCAGGUGACGUGGAAGAUUUCGCCCCUACUCCCAAUCAUCCAGGUCCUCCUCCUGAAACUGUCAUCCAAGGUAUAGUCAGUGAAUUCCCAUCCCUGUCACUGCCCUCUGCUGUUUUGCUGCCAGGCCCCAAAUAAAAACAUCUUAAUGUCUGUCCUUAUAAUCUAAACUAUUUAUAGGUGACAUGGAAGAUUUGCCUCUGUUGCUGAAUAGUAGUGAAUAUCCAUGCUAACACCUGUCCUGUGCUGCUUUGCUGCUAGGCCUCUGGGUACCCGUUCUGAAUGUUGGCAUUACAAUCUAUGAAUCUACAAUAUGAUUUUCAGGUGACAUGGUUGAUUUCGCUCCGGUGUCUGUUCAAUCUGGUAAUUCUGAAGAAACUGGAAUCCAAGGUAAACACAUUCCAUCCGAGAGGAGGCGCUGUGUGAAGAGACCGUGGUCGGAAACUAAAGCAAAGGCACAUGAAGCCAUACAUUCUGAACGGACUUCUGGUCAUGAGCGCUCAAUGUGCAUUGUGCAAAGAAAAAGAACACCCCGCAUUAGAAGGACGCACAAUUAAAAAUAUUCGUGAUUUUGUAAGAAAUAAUGGCCUAAAAAAAAUAAAAAGUAGUACACACAUGGAAUUGUCAACACUGCUUUAGUAUCCUCCCAAUCCUGUCUGCAGUCUGUGUGUCAGCUAGUGUCCUUGAAAUAAAGGCCUAAAGAAU
Long non-coding RNA from Gadus macrocephalus (Pacific cod), 785 nucleotides. RefSeq lists it as uncharacterized. The record is from RefSeq and is a predicted model, not a curated record. The transcript is spliced from 2 exons. NCBI's taxonomy places the organism in Eukaryota, Metazoa, Chordata, Actinopteri, Gadiformes, Gadidae.